GAUUUCUGGAUGACUGUGCUAGCCCGUUGGCUUUCGGGUUGAUGAGCGCCGGUACGAGUCAUUCAUCUUUGUAGGGAGCCUGGUCUGCCCUUUUUUGGGUGGGUCUGUGCGAACUACAUCAUUUACUUUGAAAAAAUUAGAGUGUUUAAAGCAGGCUUACGCUAUGAAUACAUUAGCAUGGAAUAAUAAUUUAGGACUUUGGUUCUAUUUUGUUGGUUUCUAGGACUGAAGUAAUGAUUGAUAGGGAUAGUUGGGGGUGCUAGUAUUCCGCGGCCAGAGGUGAAAUUCUUGGAUUCGUGGAAGACUAACUACUGCGAAAGCAUU
RNAcentral lists this ribosomal RNA (324 nucleotides) under uncultured Assulina. RNAcentral's name for it is "SSU rRNA". The stretch from base 104 to 324 matches the Rfam family "Eukaryotic small subunit ribosomal RNA", at positions 733 to 955 of the family's 1831-position model. Lineage: Eukaryota; Cercozoa; Imbricatea; Euglyphida; Euglyphidae. The record is from RNAcentral.